RNAcentral lists this ribosomal RNA (483 nucleotides) under uncultured bacterium. RNAcentral's name for it is "bacterial SSU rRNA". It matches the Rfam family "Bacterial small subunit ribosomal RNA", at positions 903 to 1397 of the family's 1533-position model. The record is from RNAcentral.
AAAGGAAUAGACGGGGGCCCGCACAAGCAGCGGAGCGUGUGGUUUAAUUCGAUGCAACGCGAAAAACCUUACCAAGGCUUGACAUGCCGAAAGUAGAAACCUGAAAGGGCGACGAACUGUUAAGUCAGUAGUCGGCACAGGUGCUGCAUGGCUGUCGUCAGCUCGUGCCGUGAGGUGUAUGGUUAAGUCCUACAACGAGCGCAACCCUCGUUGCUAGUUAUAUUCUCUAGCGAGACUGCCCCGCAAAACGGGGAGGAAGGUGAGGAUGACGUCAAGUCAGCAUGGCCCUUAUGUCUUGGGCUACACACACGCUACAAUGGGUGGUACAAUAGGUUGCGACAUGGCGACAUGUAGCUAAUCCCCAAAGCCAUCCUCAGUACGGAUUGCAGGCUGAAACUCGCCUGCAUGAAGCAGGAGUUGCUAGUAACCGCAUAUCAGAAUGGUGCGGUGAAUACGUUCUCGGGCCUUGUACACACCGCCCGU